This 326-nucleotide ribosomal RNA is filed under the name uncultured bacterium. RNAcentral's name for it is "bacterial SSU rRNA". It matches the Rfam family "Bacterial small subunit ribosomal RNA", at positions 28 to 355 of the family's 1533-position model. The record is from RNAcentral.
GACGAACGCUGGCGGCGUGCUUAACACAUGCAAGUCGAGCGGUAAGGCCCUUUCGGGGGUACACGAGCGGCGAACGGGUGAGUAACACGUGGGUGACCUGCCUUUAGCUCUGGGAUAAGCCUGGGAAACUGGGUCUAAUACCGGAUACGACUCCGCGGUGCAUGCUGUGGGGUGGAAAGCCUUGUGCGGCUGGAGAUGGGCCCGCGGCCUAUCAGCUUGUUGGUGGGGUGAUGGCCUACCAAGGCGACGACGGGUAGCCGGCCUGAGAGGGCGACCGGCCACACUGGGACUGAGACACGGCCCAGACUCCUACGGGAGGCAGCAGU